CGGGGCGUAGCUCAGUUUGGUAGAGCGCAUGUUUUGGGUACAUGAAGUCAUCGGUUCGAGUCCGGUCGCCCCGACCA
This 77-nucleotide transfer RNA is filed under the name Puniceicoccales bacterium. Its description in RNAcentral is "tRNA-Pro". It matches the Rfam family "tRNA". From Rfam's summary of the family: Transfer RNA (tRNA) molecules are approximately 80 nucleotides in length. Their secondary structure includes four short double-helical elements and three loops (D, anti-codon, and T loops). The record is from RNAcentral. Lineage: Bacteria; Pseudomonadati; Verrucomicrobiota; Opitutia; Puniceicoccales.